ACGCUCGACACCUACAGGAGGCAGCAGUGGGGAAUAUUGCACAAUGGGGGAAACCCUGAUGCAGCGACGCCGCGUGGAGGAAGAAGGUCUUCGGAUUGUAAACUCCUGUUGUUGGGGAAAAAGAGGAUGGUACCCAACAAGGAAGUGACGGCUAACUACGUGCCGGCAGCCGCGGUAAUCUGAGGCGGGCUGGCAAGGC
This 199-nucleotide ribosomal RNA is filed under the name uncultured bacterium. RNAcentral describes it as "partial 16S ribosomal RNA". It matches the Rfam family "Bacterial small subunit ribosomal RNA", at positions 328 to 539 of the family's 1533-position model. The record is from RNAcentral.